GAAUGAGGCAAGCCAAGCUGUGAGGAGUCUGUGGGUCAUGGCUUUGGCAGCGUGGAACCUGGGACAUAGAGUCCCCCUUGAUACGGCUGUUCAGCAGACCAACUUUGUUGUAAAUAUUUAGAUAAAAAUGGGCUUUAGAGCAGCCACAUCUGAAGACCCACAAGGCUGAAUGUUACACAGGGGGAGCACCAUUAUUUAAUCUGAACAUCUGGAAUCCAUCAUGUGUAGUGAAGGACAAGAUGUAUCCUCAUUUUUAAGCCAACUCCAUGAUAAAAUUGAUGGAUGGGACCAAUGUGUACAGGUGAAGAAGAUUGAUACUUAAGAUCUCAAUCAGAAUCUGAUUGAAGAUAAACUCAUCCUAUUUGGAUCAGAGCAUUAGAAGAAAGAAAGAACUGACACUUCUCAACCUUCUCUAGUUGAAGACUUCUCUU
RNAcentral lists this long non-coding RNA (431 nucleotides) under Homo sapiens (human). RNAcentral describes it as "non-protein coding LINC01428:1". The record is from RNAcentral. Lineage: Eukaryota; Metazoa; Chordata; Mammalia; Primates; Hominidae.